GACGUGGCUCAGUUUGGUAGAGCGCUGCGUUCGGGACGCAGAGGCCGCAGGUUCAAAUCCUGUCGUC
Molecule: transfer RNA, 67 nt
Filed under: Slackia equolifaciens
Lineage: Bacteria; Bacillati; Actinomycetota; Coriobacteriia; Eggerthellales; Eggerthellaceae
Also listed under: 2 other names
Rfam family: tRNA
About the family: Transfer RNA (tRNA) molecules are approximately 80 nucleotides in length.
Source: RNAcentral